GGGGGCACUCGUCCAACUCAACCCUACAUACCAAGCGCUAGCGCUUGGUAAUAAAUACAUGUAUGUACAUGUACAAUGCAUGUAUUUAAUUUUGUGCACAAAAAUAAUAAAUAACGAACUGUGUUAUCUAUUGUGCUAUCAUGAAUAAACUGUGUUUCUAUAUUUGUUUAAGGACUACAUGUACGCAUUCAUUAACAUGGCCAUUUGCCCACAACUGGCCAUGUUUAUAAAUGGCUAAAUACCAUGUUUGUUUAUGAAAUGGCCAAUAUACCAUAUAUAGCUCUUUAAGUAAACUAUGCAGUGUUAUCAUCAAUAAUCUCAUUUUGUGUUUCUAUUUCUAUAUUUGUUUAAUAACUACACAUGUACACAAUAAUAAACAUGGGUAUUUAUCCACAAACUCCACAUAUUUUCUCUUGUGGGAUGAUUGUAUAAUUAAUUACUGAUACCAAGCCAAUCGAUCAUUGAUAGAUGAACCAUUUUCUCUAGCUGAUACAGUUUUUUAACUCUUGUUUCCAUGACAAUAAAAAAAAGUGUUUUGUUCUAUAGAUUUAGUGAUUUAACAAUUUUUAUUUGAUUUGUUUUAUUACUUGCUCUCAAAGAAAAUUUAAUUAAAGUGAGAGAGGUUCACAUAUCACUGGGAUACAUUACAUCUAUACUUAUGGUUGGAAGGGAUAGUAAUAUUAUUGACUAUUGCUAGUAAUAUUUUUAUCAGUAUUAACAAUAUUGAAUUUGCAAUACUAGGUACAACUACAAUAUACUGCUUUGAAAUUUGAAUUGUAUAAAUUUAUUGAUCAUAAAAUUUACUAAUAUUGCACAACUCUACAGCUACUUUCUUUCCCAAUUUUUUGUGUUUUAAGCACUGAAAAACAGCCCACAUGUUGGAGAUGUAACUCUACUUUUUUAUAAUUCCAUUUAAAGUGCUGCCAUUGAAUGCUAUUAUUGCUAGGCAGUAAUUGUUUUAAUCUUACCAUCAUCAUCUAGAGGUUCAAAUGCCAAUAUUGGAACUCUUUCAGCCAUGUUCAAUCUGCAGUUGCUGCUCUACUGUCUAAGAUUACUUCACACUGGUUACUGACACUUACUGGACUCUUCUAAAAACACUCCUGAAUAUGGUUAUUGCAACUUGCAUGUGUAAUAAGUGUCAACUUGUAAAUUGUUUUAUACUGAAUCAAAACAACAGAGAGAACAACAGCAAAAGAUGAUAAUAAAAGACAGAGACUCUCACACACACAUGCUCCUCUUCUGAGCAUGCGCACUCAUACACAUAAUAACAUAUUGUAACCAUAAUAUAGUAAUACAUGAAUUAUUGUACAUACACUACAUAAUACCAAGAGUAUAGUGUCAAUUCAGUUCACUACACAUGUACCGGUACAUGUACUAUUUAUAGUAGAGGGGUGUGGCUACUCCUAUAGUCAUCACAGGCAUGUACAUAUGGUUGCUUGAAUUGACCCAAUUUCUUUACUACACAUCACUUCCUGGUCACAUGACAUGUGUUAGUAGCAAGCAACCUGCAAUUCACUGCAGAUGCAUAUACAUGUUGACUACAUAUAGUGCAGUGGUGACUGCUGACCAGACUCUCACCCCUUUCUGCAUAGCCAGUGUCCAUGUGAGCACUGGCAUUUUAUUGCUCAGAUAUUUUUUAAUGCUAUUGAUAAUGAUAACCAACUUGCAAUGUUGUUUAUAGUUAUUAUUAAUUUUGGUCUUCUCUUUUUGUUGUUAGUCUGUCCCAUCCAUUAUUAUUUCCUUCCCAAUCUCUCUUUUAGUGUCUCAUUCUAAUGAAGGUGAAUCAGGUCUUGAUGAUUAAUCACAAGAUAUCACUGGAGGCAUGUGCACACACACACACACUAGUCUCACUGGGCCCAGACUAGUCUCGUAGACCCCAGCCUACAGUCCACCCCAAUGACUGUCAGCUGAGGAAUGGCCUGGCCAGCGAGACUAUACACACAGUCACACACACACACACUGGAGUCUGGAGCAGCGGAGUAGGCACAAAUUUACAUGUGCUUUGGGAGUUGCUAUAAUAAUUUAUACUAGUACAUGUAGUUGCUAAUGUCGUAAUAUAAUGAGAAUGAUUCUGACAGUAGUACCAGUGAAAGUGCUAGUCACACUCACCAGGAGUUUGAGUUACCUAAAGAACCUUUUCAAUUACGACAAGAGAUUGCUAGUCAUUCACUUGAAUUACCUGAAUUUGAUAUUGGCAGUAGUCACAGUGGUGGUAUAUCUCAUGCCUCCAGUGGUCGUCACUCCUCACAACACACUCUCAACUUCCCCAAACAAUUCAUUCCAGGCUGGACUCCACCUACCUGGGACUUCUCCCCUCAAGUAGCUGAAGUAUUGAAGCAUUAUGCUGGGAAGGGUGAUGUUCAGAUGAGUGUUACUAUUAUUCUUGUGUUUGGUGAGAGGGUCAGUAAACUGAUACCUGAAGUAACAUUACUUCAAUGGUUUCAUUCAUAUAUUGAUUUAUUGACACAGUAUCAGUUAUUAAAUGAAGCUGUUUAUAUUACCAAGAACUGUCCUCUUA
Long non-coding RNA from Amphimedon queenslandica, 2518 nucleotides. RefSeq lists it as uncharacterized. NCBI's taxonomy places the organism in Eukaryota, Metazoa, Porifera, Demospongiae, Haplosclerida, Niphatidae. The transcript has 6 exons. The record is from RefSeq and is a predicted model, not a curated record.